CUCUGAGGUCCGGGUUCCAAAGUCCCCAGUCGCACACCCGGACUCAGAUUCUCCCCAGACGCCGAGGAUGCGGUCAUGGAGCCCCGAACCCUCCUCCUGCUGCUCUCGGGGGCCCUGGUCCUGACCGAGACCUGGGCGGGCUUCCACUCCUUGAGAUAUUUCGACACUUCCGUGUCCCGGCCCGGCCGCGGGGAGCCCCGUUUCAUCACCGUGGGCUACGUGGACGACACGCAGUUCGUGCGGUUCGACAGCGACGCCGCGAGUCCGAGAGAGGAGCCCCGGGCGCCAUGGGUUGAGCAGGAGGGGCCGGAGUAUUGGGACCUGCAGACACAGAUCUCCAAGGCCACCGCACAGACUCAGAGAUCGAACCUGCAAACCUUGCGCGGCUACUACAACCAGAGCGAGGCAGGGUCUCACACCUACCAGAGGAUGUACGGCUGCGACCUGGGGCCGGACGGGCGCCUCCUCCGCGGGUAUAACCAGUUCGCCUACGACGGCGAGGACUACAUCGCCCUGAACGAGGACCUGCGCUCCUGGACCGCCGCGGACACGGCGGCUCAGAUCACCCAGCGCAAGUGGGAGGCGGCCAGUGAGGCUGAGAGGAUGAGAGCCCACCUGGAGGGCGAGUGUGUGGAGUGGCUCCGCAGACACCUGGAGAACGGGAAGGAGACGCUGCAGCGCGCUGAGCCCCCCAAGACGCACGUGACCCACCACCCCGUCUCUGACCAUGAGGCCACCCUGAGGUGCUGGGCCCUGGGCUUCUACCCUGCGGAGAUCACACUGACCUGGCAGCGGCAUGGGGAGGACCAGACCCAAGACAUGGAGCUUGUGGAGACCAGGCCCGCAGGGGAUGGAAACUUCCAGAAGUGGGCAGCUGUGGUGGUGCCUUCUGGAGAGGAGCAGAGAUACACAUGCCAUGUGCAGCACGAGGGGCUGCCCGAGACCCUCACCCUGAGAUGGGAGCUGUCUUCCCAGCCCACCAUCCCCAUUGUGGGCAUCAUUGUUGGCCUGGCUGUCCUUGGAGCUGUAGUCACUGGAGCUGCUUUGAUGUGGUGGAAGAAGAGCUCAGGUGAGGAAGGGGUGAGGAGUGGGGUCUGAGAUUUCUUGUCCCACUGAGGGUUCCAAGCCCCAGGUAGAAGUGUGUCCUGCCUGGUUAUUGAGAAGCAUCAUCCACACUCAUGAGCUGACCCAGCCUGGGCCAUGUGCCAGCACUUACUUAUGUAAAACACCUGUGACAAUGAAGGACAAAUGCAUCACCUUGAUGACUGUCGCGAUGGAGACCUAAUCUCAGCAGUCACAG
This is a non-coding RNA of Saimiri boliviensis boliviensis (Bolivian squirrel monkey), 1300 nucleotides long. NCBI's taxonomy places the organism in Eukaryota, Metazoa, Chordata, Mammalia, Primates, Cebidae. The record is from RefSeq and is a predicted model, not a curated record.